This 1480-nucleotide long non-coding RNA is filed under the name Canis lupus familiaris (dog). Its description in RNAcentral is "lncRNA (ENSCAFG00845009932.1)". The record is from RNAcentral. Lineage: Eukaryota; Metazoa; Chordata; Mammalia; Carnivora; Canidae.
AAAUAACCCACCUUCGUGGUUGCAGCAGCCCUUGGCCGCCCUCCAAGCCCCAGGGGAUGGCACAGAGGAGAAAGCUGAGCAGGGCAUGGCCGGGCUGGGCAAGCAACCCCAUGCGCACUCAUUCACCCCUUGCUUUGUCAUACUGCUUCAGGGACAUGAACUUCCUUCCCCAGCUUCUGCCUUCCCACCCUGGGCCAUGCCAGGGUGUCUGCUCAGGGCUGUGCCAGGUUCCCCAGCUGCCUCUUACCUGUACUUUUGAAACCUGUUAUCAACCAAAGGAGGUCGCUCUGACGGAUACAUUAUUGAAUGGAAAGGAAGCAUCCUCUGAUUCUUGUUUCUCAAUCAUGAGCACCCUUAGCCAUACAUAACUGCCUGAAACAAAUAUAAUCAAACAGGAACGUGAAGCUUCCUUUUUCUUCUUCCCCUGCAGGGAAGAGCAGGCCUGGCCCUUCUGCUCUCCCCCUUCUAGAGUGAAGCAUGGAUACAAAGCAAGGAGCUGGGCUCCUCUGUACUGUCCCACUCCCUAGAUGAAGGCAGAUCUUCCAAAAUAUUUCUGAUACUGCAGGGAGUGGCUGAGAAAGGAUCACACCCCGGUGGGAAGAAGUUUCUGGAACCUGUGGUGGGCAGUGUCUGACCCUCUCUGUACUUCAGAAGCAGAUAGUGCUGAAGGCCUGCCAGCCACACCAAAGAGCUUCUCACAAGAAGGCACGAGCCAGGUUGAGGCAGCUUCACAAGGGGAGGAAUGACCUGUUUUGGACCAGAAGCCAUGACUCGAAUGAGGCUAACAAUACACAAAGCACAGGCACCGUAUAGAAGAGUCAUUUUCCUCCUCUCAGGUUUCAUCAUAGUAACUGUCAUUACAAGGCAGACAGAGAUCCAUGGAUGGAGGUGUACCUGCGUUUCCAGUCCUGGCUCUGCUAUGUAGGGUCUUGGAUGACCUAUGACAGGUCGGAUUUGGUCACAAAUCCAGAAACGACUUCAUGUCACUGAGGUAUUACUCUGCUGCUCUCUAUGUCCAAGCCCAUUUUUAUAUAGUUUUAUAGUCUUGUCUCUCAUACUACGCACCUACCAGCCAGACACACCUGGGCAGGCAAGGAGAGCGGGAGUACUGGUGUUUGCUGCAUAUCUACUGUGUGGUGAGCAUGGACACUUUAAGUUCAGUGGAUCUCCCCGAGUAGAAAUUAAAAGAGCUAGAUCAGUGUUGUCUAAUAGAAAAUUAAUGCAAGCCACACAGGUAAUUUUAAAUUUUAUAGUAUCUAUAUUACAAAAUUAAAAAUGAAACAGGUGAAAUUAAUGUUAAUAAUGUAUUUUAUGUAACCUAAUUUACUUAAAAUAUCAAUAUUUCAAUAUGUAAUCAAUAUCAAAUUAUUAAUGAGAUAUUUUACCUUUUUUGUACUAAGUCCCCAAAUUCCACUGUGCAUUUUGUAUUUAGAACCAUCCCAGUUUGAACUAGCCCAUUUCAAGCACUCAACAGCCAUCU